GUACACUCCUGCGGGAGGCAGCAGUGGGGAAUAUUGGACAAUGGGCGCAAGCCUGAUCCAGCCAUGCCGCGUGAGUGAUGAAGGCCCUAGGGUUGUAAAGCUCUUUCACCGGUGAAGAUAAUGACGGUAACCGGAGAAGAAGCCCCGGCUAACUUCGUGCCAGCAGCCGCGGUAAUACGAAGGGGGCUAGCGUUGUUCGGAUUUACUGGGCGUAAAGCGCACGUAGGCGGACUAUUAAGUCAGGGGUGAAAUCCCGGGGCUCAACCCCGGAACUGCCUUUGAUACUGGUAGUCUUGAGUUCGAGAGAGGUGAGUGGAAUUCCGAGUGUAGAGGUGAAAUUCGUAGAUAUUCGGAGGAACACCAGUGGCGAAGGCGGCUCACUGGCUCGAUACUGACGCUGAGGUGCGAAAGCGUGGGGAGCAAACAGGAUUAGAAACCCGAGUAGUCCCAUG
This 452-nucleotide ribosomal RNA is filed under the name uncultured organism. Its description in RNAcentral is "partial 16S ribosomal RNA". It matches the Rfam family "Bacterial small subunit ribosomal RNA", at positions 331 to 799 of the family's 1533-position model. The record is from RNAcentral.